RNAcentral lists this ribosomal RNA (353 nucleotides) under uncultured bacterium. RNAcentral's name for it is "partial 16S ribosomal RNA". It matches the Rfam family "Bacterial small subunit ribosomal RNA", at positions 426 to 795 of the family's 1533-position model. The record is from RNAcentral.
CCUACGGGGGGCAGCAGGGAUGAAAAAAGACGGGAAUUGACGAAGAAGCCCCGGCUAACUACGUGACAGCAGCCGCGGUAAUACGUAGGGGGCAAGCGUUAUCCGGAUUUACUGGGUGUAAAGGGAGCGUAGACGGCAAGGCAAGCCAGAAGUGAAAGGGCAGGGCUCAACCCUGUACAUGCUUUUGGAACUGUGGUGCUAGAGUGCAGGAGAGGUAAGUGGAAUUCCUAGUGUAGCGGUGAAAUGCGUAGAUAUUAGGAGGAACACCAGUGGCGAAGGCGGCUUACUGGACUGUAACUGACGUUGAGGCUCGAAAGCGUGGGGAGCAAACAGGAUUAGAUACCCGGGUAGUC